UGGGGAAUUUUGGACAAUGGGGGCAACCCUGAUCCAGCAAUGCCGCGUGUGUGAAGAAGGCCUUCGGGUUGUAAAGCACUUUUGUCCGGGAAGAAAUCCCCUGCCCUAAUACGGCGGGGGAUGACGGUACCGGAAGAAUAAGCACCGGCUAACUACGUGCCAGCAGCCGCGGUAAUACGUAGGGUGCGAGCGUUAAUCGGAAUUACUGGGCGUAAAGCGUGCGCAGGCGGUGAUGUAAGACCGAUGUGAAAUCCCCGGGCUCAACCUGGGAACUGCAUUGGUGACUGCAUUGCUCGAGUAUGGCAGAGGGGGGUGGAAUUCCACGUGUAGCAGUGAAAUGCGUAGAGAUGUGGAGGAACACCGAUGGCGAAGGCAGCCCCCUGGGCCAAUACUGACGCUCAUGCACGAAAGCGUGGGGAGCAAACAGGAUUAGAUACCCUGGUAGUCCACGCCCUAAACGAUGUCAACUGGUUGUCGGGCCUUCAUUGGCUUGGUAACGUAGCUAACGCGUGAAGUUGACCGCCUGGGGAGUACGGUCGCAAGAUU
This 546-nucleotide ribosomal RNA is filed under the name uncultured bacterium. RNAcentral describes it as "partial 16S ribosomal RNA". It matches the Rfam family "Bacterial small subunit ribosomal RNA", at positions 355 to 895 of the family's 1533-position model. The record is from RNAcentral.